RNAcentral lists this ribosomal RNA (413 nucleotides) under uncultured bacterium. RNAcentral describes it as "bacterial SSU rRNA". It matches the Rfam family "Bacterial small subunit ribosomal RNA", at positions 64 to 507 of the family's 1533-position model. The record is from RNAcentral.
GAGCGAGAAAGUGGUAGCAAUACCAUGAGUAAAGCGGCGCACGGGUGAGUAACACGUGACUAACCUACCCUCGAGUGGGGAAUAACUUCGGGAAACCGAGGCUAAUACCGCAUAAUACCCACGGGUCAAAGGAGAAAUCCGCUUGAGGAGGGGGUCGCGGCCGAUUAGUUAGUUGACGGGGUAAUGGCCCACCAAGACGAUGAUCGGUAUCCGGCCUGAGAGGGCGCACGGACACACUGGAACUGAAACACGGUCCAGACUCCUACGGGAGGCAGCAGUGGGGAAUUUUGCGCAAUGGGGGAAACCCUGACGCAGCAACGCCGCGUGGAGGAUGAAGUCCUUCGGGACGUAAACUCCUUUCGAUCGGGACGAUUAUGACGGUACCGGAAGAAGAAGCCCCGGCUAACUUCGUG